This 511-nucleotide ribosomal RNA is filed under the name uncultured Hanseniaspora. Its description in RNAcentral is "eukaryotic LSU rRNA". It matches the Rfam family "Eukaryotic large subunit ribosomal RNA", at positions 63 to 572 of the family's 3401-position model. The record is from RNAcentral. Lineage: Eukaryota; Fungi; Ascomycota; Saccharomycetes; Saccharomycodales; Saccharomycodaceae.
AACCAACUGGGGAUUACCUUAGUAACGGCGAGUGAAGCGGUAAAAGCUCAAAUUUGAAAUCUGGUACUUUCAGUGCCCGAGUUGUAAUUUGUAGAAUUUGUCUUUGAUUAGGUCCUUGUCUAUGUUCCUUGGAACAGGACGUCAUAGAGGGUGAGAAUCCCGUUUGGCGAGGAUACCUUUUCUCUGUAAGACUUUUUCGAAGAGUCGAGUUGUUUGGGAAUGCAGCUCAAAGUGGGUGGUAAAUUCCAUCUAAAGCUAAAUAUUGGCGAGAGACCGAUAGCGAACAAGUACAGUGAUGGAAAGAUGAAAAGAACUUUGAAAAGAGAGUGAAAAAGUACGUGAAAUUGUUGAAAGGGAAGGGCAUUUGAUCAGACAUGGUGUUUUUGCAUGCACUCGCCUCUCGUGGGCUUGGGCCUCUCAAAAAUUUCACUGGGCCAACAUCAGUUCUGGCAGCAGGAUAAAUCAUUAAGAAUGUAGCUACUCGGUAUGUUAUAGCUUAUGGAAUACUGCU